AGUGAGCGCUGGCGGCAGGCCUAAUACAUGCAAGUCGAACGGCAGCACAGCAGAGCUUGCUCUGUGGGUGGCGAGUGGCGGACGGGUGAGGAAUACAUGGGAAUCUGCCCAGUCGUGGGGGAUAACGUAUGGAAACGUACGCUAAUACCGCAUGCGCCCUUUGGGGGAAAGCCGGGGACCUUCGGGCCUGGCGCGAUUGGAUGAGCCCAUGUUCGAUUAGCUAGUUGGCGGGGUAAAGGCCCACCAAGGCGACGAUCGAUAGCUGGUCUGAGAGGAUGAUCAGCCACACUGGGACUGAGACACGGCCCAGACUCCUACGGGAGGCAGCAGUAGGGAAUAUUGGACAAUGGGCGCAAGCCUGAUCCAGCCAUGCCGCGUGAGUGAAGAAGGCCCUCGGGUUGUAAAGCUCUUUUGUCCGGAAAGAAAAGCAUUCGGUUAAUACCCGGGUGUUCUGACGGUACCGGAAGAAUAAGCACCGGCUAACUUCGUG
Molecule: ribosomal RNA, 490 nt
Filed under: uncultured bacterium
Lineage: Bacteria
Description: partial 16S ribosomal RNA
Rfam family: Bacterial small subunit ribosomal RNA
Source: RNAcentral